CCUACGGGGGGCAGCAGUAGGGAAUUUUCGGCAAUGGGGGGAACCCUGACCGAGCAACGCCGCGUGAACGAAGAAGUUAUUCGUAAUGUAAAGUUCUUUUAACAGGGAAGAAAGAGAAAUUUGACGGUACCUGAAGAAAAAGCAUCGGCUAACUCCGUGCCAGCAGCCGCGGUAAUACGGAGGAUGCGAGCGUUAUCCGGAUUUAUUGGGUUUAAAGGGUGCGUAGGCGGGCAUUUAAGCCGGCGGUCAAAUGUCGGGGCUCAACCCCGGCCUGCCGUCGGAACUGGGUGCCUUGAGUGGGCGAGAAGUAUGCGGAAUGCGUGGUGUAGCGGUGAAAUGCAUAGAUAUCACGCAGAACCCCGAUUGCGAAGGCAGCAUACCGGCGCCCUACUGACGCUGAGGCACGAAAGUGCGGGUAUCGAACAGGAUUAGAUACCCUUGUAGUC
Molecule: ribosomal RNA, 446 nt
Filed under: uncultured bacterium
Lineage: Bacteria
Description: partial 16S ribosomal RNA
Rfam family: Bacterial small subunit ribosomal RNA
Source: RNAcentral